GCAGAGCAAAUUAGAAAAACAUAAUAUAUAUAUAUUUGUGGUCGGAACUUAAUUCGUAUAUGAAAAUAGAGAAGAGGGGGAUAGUUGGUAGUGGUGUGCUGAAACCAACAGGUAGGCCUGUAAUAAAGAGGGCCCACCAGAGGUAAUGUAAUGAUGAUAGUAAGUUAUUAGAGGGAGUGGAGGGAGGGGUCGCUCUAACAGGAACCAGCAUAGGUAAACGGGGGGUAGAGCUUUUAUAGGGAAAACUCCUCCCAAAAAUUCAGGCCUAUGGCCUUUU
Pelobates cultripes (western spadefoot toad) is the source of this 277-nucleotide non-coding RNA. Lineage: Eukaryota; Metazoa; Chordata; Amphibia; Anura; Pelobatidae. The record is from the annotation of a GenBank genome assembly.